This 161-nucleotide unclassified non-coding RNA is filed under the name uncultured Phaeoacremonium. Its description in RNAcentral is "sequence contains ITS2". The record is from RNAcentral. Lineage: Eukaryota; Fungi; Ascomycota; Sordariomycetes.
CCACCCUCAAGCCCUGGCUGCUUGGUGUUGGGGUGCUCUACAGCUUGCUGUAGGCCCCGAAAAUCAGUGGCGGUCUCGCUGGGACCCCGAGCGUAGUAGAUUUCUCUCGCUUAGGGGCGACCGGUGGGUUUCUAGCCGUUAAAACCCUUAUAUUUUAAAGG